Molecule: ribosomal RNA, 566 nt
Filed under: Lodderomyces orthopsilosis
Lineage: Eukaryota; Fungi; Ascomycota; Pichiomycetes; Serinales; Debaryomycetaceae
Description: Candida orthopsilosis partial large subunit ribosomal RNA
Rfam family: Eukaryotic large subunit ribosomal RNA
Source: RNAcentral
ACCAACAGGGAUUGCCUUAGUAGCGGCGAGUGAAGCGGCAAAAGCUCAAAUUUGAAAUCUGGCACUUUCAGUGUCCGAGUUGUAAUUUGAAGAAGGUAUCUUUGGGUCUGGCUCUUGUCUAUGUUUCUUGGAACAGAACGUCACAGAGGGUGAGAAUCCCGUGCGAUGAGAUGACCCAGACCUAUGUAAAGUUCCUUCGAAGAGUCGAGUUGUUUGGGAAUGCAGCUCUAAGUGGGUGGUAAAUUCCAUCUAAAGCUAAAUAUUGGCGAGAGACCGAUAGCGAACAAGUACAGUGAUGGAAAGAUGAAAAGAACUUUGAAAAGAGAGUGAAAAAGUACGUGAAAUUGUUGAAAGGGAAGGGCUUGAGAUCAGACUUGGUAUUUUGUAUGUUACUCUCUCGGGGGUGGCCUCUACAGUUUACCGGGCCAGCAUCAGUUUGGGCGGUAGGACAAUUGCAAAGAAAUGUGGCACUGCCUCGGUAGUGUGUUAUAGUCUUUGUCGAUACUGCCAGCCUAGACUGAGGACUGCGGCUUCGGCCUAGGAUGUUGGCAUAAUGAUCUUAAGUC